This 445-nucleotide ribosomal RNA is filed under the name uncultured eukaryote. RNAcentral describes it as "bacterial SSU rRNA". It matches the Rfam family "Eukaryotic small subunit ribosomal RNA", at positions 539 to 985 of the family's 1831-position model. The record is from RNAcentral.
GGAACGAUCGGAGGGCAAGUCUGGUGCCAGCAGCCGCGGUAAUUCCAGCUCCAAUAGCGUACGUUAAAGUUGCUGCAGUUAAAAAGCUCGUAGUUGAACGUUCGGGUUCCGCGGGACGGGGCCGCCCCGCGAGGGACGGCGCCGCCCCGGGGCUCGUGAUAUCUCAUCUCGCCGCCCGUCGCGAGGCGGACGGAGGGAUGGAUGAGGUUACCUGGAAAAAUCGGGGCGAUCUAGGCGGGCGAACCUCGCCAACGAACGAUCGGACAUGGGAUAACGGAAGAGGGCGUCGGCUCGACUUCGUCGGUUCCUCGGGCCGAGGCACGUACGGUGAAUAGGGACGGUCGGGGCCGCCCGUACCGGGUCGUGAGAGGUGAAAUUCUAGGAUCGACCCGAGACGAACCGCCGCGAAAGCAUUCGGCAAGGACGCUUUCAUUAAUCAAGAACG